This 74-nucleotide transfer RNA is filed under the name Actinomycetes bacterium. Its description in RNAcentral is "Actinobacteria bacterium tRNA-Thr". It matches the Rfam family "tRNA". From Rfam's summary of the family: Transfer RNA (tRNA) molecules are approximately 80 nucleotides in length. Their secondary structure includes four short double-helical elements and three loops (D, anti-codon, and T loops). Further hydrogen bonds mediate the characteristic L-shaped molecular structure. tRNAs have two regions of fundamental functional importance: the anti-codon, which is responsible for specific mRNA codon recognition, and the 3' end, to which the tRNAs corresponding amino acid is attached (by aminoacyl-tRNA synthetases). tRNAs cope with the degeneracy of the genetic code in two manners: having more than one tRNA (with a specific anti-codon) for a particular amino acid; and 'wobble' base-pairing, i.e. permitting non-standard base-pairing at the 3rd anti-codon position. Lineage: Bacteria; Bacillati; Actinomycetota; Actinomycetes. The record is from RNAcentral. RNAcentral also lists the same sequence under 2 other names.
GCCCCCCUAGCUCAACCUGGGAGAGCGCCUCAUUUGUAAUGAGGAGGUUGCCGGUUCGAUUCCGGCGGGGGGCU